This 250-nucleotide ribosomal RNA is filed under the name uncultured bacterium. Its description in RNAcentral is "partial 16S ribosomal RNA". It matches the Rfam family "Bacterial small subunit ribosomal RNA", at positions 524 to 773 of the family's 1533-position model. The record is from RNAcentral. RNAcentral also lists the same sequence under 1 other name.
UACAGAGGGCGCAAGCGUUAUUCGGAUUCACUGGGCAUAAAGAGCACGUAGGCGGCUACGUAAGUCGGAUGUGAAAUCCCGCGGCUCAACCGCGGAAUGGCAUCCGAUACUGCGUGGCUCGAGGUCGGAAGGGGUAAGCGGAACUCCAGGUGGAACGGUGAAAUGUGUAGAUAUCUGGAGGAACACCGGUGGCGAAGGCGGCUUACUGGUCCGAAUCUGACGCUGAGGUGCGAAAGCUAGGGGAGCGAAC